This 931-nucleotide ribosomal RNA is filed under the name Thalassotalea fusca. RNAcentral describes it as "bacterial SSU rRNA". It matches the Rfam family "Bacterial small subunit ribosomal RNA", at positions 502 to 1434 of the family's 1533-position model. Lineage: Bacteria; Pseudomonadati; Pseudomonadota; Gammaproteobacteria; Alteromonadales; Colwelliaceae. The record is from RNAcentral.
UCCGUGCCAGCAGCCGCGGUAAUACGGAGGGUGCGAGCGUUAAUCGGAAUUACUGGGCGUAAAGCGUGCGUAGGCGGUUGAUUAAGCGAGAUGUGAAAUCCCGGGGCUUAACCUCGGAACUGCAUUUCGAACUGGUCGACUAGAGUUUUGUAGAGGGUGGUGGAAUUUCCAGUGUAGCGGUGAAAUGCGUAGAGAUUGGAAGGAACAUCAGUGGCGAAGGCGGCCACCUGGACAAAAACUGACGCUGAGGCACGAAAGCGUGGGUAGCAAACAGGAUUAGAUACCCUGGUAGUCCACGCCGUAAACGAUGUCAACUAGCUGUCUGUGUUUUAAACGUGGGUAGCGUAGCUAACGCGCUAAGUUGACCGCCUGGGGAGUACGGCCGCAAGGUUAAAACUCAAAUGAAUUGACGGGGGCCCGCACAAGCGGUGGAGCAUGUGGUUUAAUUCGAUGCAACGCGAAGAACCUUACCAUCCCUUGACAUCCAGAGAAUUUUCUAGAGAUAGAUUAGUGCCUUCGGGAACUCUGAGACAGGUGCUGCAUGGCUGUCGUCAGCUCGUGUUGUGAAAUGUUGGGUUAAGUCCCGCAACGAGCGCAACCCUUAUCCUUACUUGCCAGCGGGUAAUGCCGGGAACUUUAAGGAGACUGCCGGUGAUAAACCGGAGGAAGGUGGGGACGACGUCAAGUCAUCAUGGCCCUUACGGGAUGGGCUACACACGUGCUACAAUGGCGUAUACAGAGUGCAGCGAGACCGCGAGGUGGAGCGAAUCACACAAAGUACGUCGUAGUCCGGAUUGGAGUCUGCAACUCGACUCCAUGAAGUCGGAAUCGCUAGUAAUCGUAGAUCAGAAUGCUACGGUGAAUACGUUCCCGGGCCUUGUACACACCGCCCGUCACACCAUGGGAGUGGGUUGCAAAAGAAGUGGCUAGU